AGUGAACGCUGGCGGUAGGCCUAACACAUGCAAGUCGAACGGCAGCACAGUAAGAGCCUGCUCUUACGGGUGGCGAGUGGCGGACGGGUGAGGAAUACAUCGGAAUCUACUUUUUCGUGGGGGAUAACGUAGGGAAACUUACGCUAAUACCGCAUAUGACCUACGGGUGAAAGCAGGGGAUCUUCGGACCUUGCGCGAUUGAAUGAGCCGAUGUCGGAUUAGCUAGUUGGCGGGGUAAAGGCCCACCAAGGCGACGAUCCGUAGCUGGUCUGAGAGGAUGAUCAGCCACACUGGAACUGAGACGCGGUCCAGACUCCUACGGGAGGCAGCAGUGGGGAAUAUUGGACAAUGGGCGCAAGCCUGAUCCAGCCAUACCGCGUGGGUGAAGAAGGCCUUCGGGUUUAAAGCCCUUUUGUUGGGAAAGAAAAGCAGCAGGUUAAUACCCCGCUGUUCUGACGGUACCCAAAGAAUAAGCACCGGCUAACUUCGUG
RNAcentral lists this ribosomal RNA (491 nucleotides) under uncultured bacterium. RNAcentral's name for it is "partial 16S ribosomal RNA". It matches the Rfam family "Bacterial small subunit ribosomal RNA", at positions 29 to 507 of the family's 1533-position model. The record is from RNAcentral.